GGAGGGAGCUAGCGUUGUUCGGAAUUACUGGGCGUAAAGCGCACGUAGGCGGCUUUGUAAGUCAGAGGUGAAAGCCUGGAGCUCAACUCCAGAACUGCCUUUGAGACUGCAUCGCUUGAAUCCAGGAGAGGUGAGUGGAAUUCCGAGUGUAGAGGUGAAAUUCGUAGAUAUUCGGAAGAACACCAGUGGCGAAGGCGGCUCACUGGACUGGUAUUGACGCUGAGGUGCGAAAGCGUGGGGGGAGCAAACAGGAUUAGAUACCCUGGUAGUCCACGCCGUAAACGAUGAUAACUAGCUGUCCGGGCACUUGGUGCUUGGGUGGCGCAGCUAACGCAUUAAGUUAUCCGCCUGGGAGUACGGUCGCAAGAUUA
RNAcentral lists this ribosomal RNA (371 nucleotides) under uncultured organism. Its description in RNAcentral is "partial 16S ribosomal RNA". It matches the Rfam family "Bacterial small subunit ribosomal RNA", at positions 527 to 896 of the family's 1533-position model. The record is from RNAcentral.